Athene cunicularia (burrowing owl) is the source of this 491-nucleotide long non-coding RNA. RefSeq lists it as uncharacterized. The record is from RefSeq and is a predicted model, not a curated record. Lineage: Eukaryota; Metazoa; Chordata; Aves; Strigiformes; Strigidae. The transcript is spliced from 3 exons.
UUUAACUGCUUGCACUUCCAGGUUGAGGCAGCAUGAGGAAAUGAGCAAAACGUACUUCCUAUAAAUACAAUGAAUUUGUGCAGCUGGGAUCUCGGGAGUACACAUAUUAACACAAAUAGAAAUCAGGAAACAAAAAUUAUGAAUCGGGUUUCAAGUUAAGGAAGGAGGAGAUACUGUGCUGCAUAUGGAUAUGCAAGGAGCACCUGUGGAGAAAGUAAGCUGUCAUGUGAAGAAUUUACUGGAUGGAGAGAAGUAAGGGUCCUACCCCUCAAAAGCACUACCUGUGUGAGGAAAGGAUCUGAUGAUGGGGAUGGGAUGAAGCUUGGGGACCAUCAUUUGUCAACUCUGGAGACAGUGUUUUACAGCAAGAGGGCUGUCUGUAGAAUCUGCUCGCAAAAAUCUCCUCUGUGAAAUACUUAUUUUAAAUAGAUUUAUUCCACAACAUGAUUGUAGUACAUUGAUUUUCUGACCUGAACACACUGCAGUUCUAA